Molecule: ribosomal RNA, 482 nt
Filed under: uncultured bacterium
Lineage: Bacteria
Description: partial 16S ribosomal RNA
Rfam family: Bacterial small subunit ribosomal RNA
Source: RNAcentral
AUUGAACGCUGGCGGCAUGCCUUACACAUGCAAGUCGAACGGUAACGGGCCUUCGGGUGCCGACGAGCGGCGAACGGGUGAGGAAUACAACGGCACGUGCCCGCUCGUGGGGGAUAACGAGGCGAAAGCUUUGCUAAUACCGCAUACGAUCUACGGUUUAAAGCCGGGGACCGCAAGGCCUUGCGCGGACGGAGCGGCCGAUGGCAGAUUAGGUAGUUGGUGGGGUAAAAGCUUACCAAGCCGACGAUCUGUAGCUGGUCUGAGAGGAUGAUCAGCCACACUGGGACUGAGACACGGCCCAGACUCCUACGGGAGGCAGCAGUGGGGAAUUUUGGACAAUGGGCGCAAGCCUGAUCCAGCCAUGCCGCGUGCAUGAUGAAGGCCUUCGGGUUGUAAACUGCUUUUGUACGGAACGAAAAGCCUUCUUUUAAUACAGGAGGGUCAUGACGGUACCGUAAGAAUAAGCACCGGCUAACUACGUG